UACGUAGGGAGCAAGCGUUGUCCGGAAUCAUUGGGCGUAAAGCGCGCGUAGGCGGCCCCAUAAGUCCGCUGUGAAAGUCAAAGGCUCAACCUUUGAAAGCCGGUGGAUACUGUGGGGCUAGAGUACGGAAGAGGCGAGUGGAAUUCCUGGUGUAGCGGUGGAAUGCGCAGAUAUCAGGAGGAACACCGAUGGCGAAGGCAGGAUCUCUGGGCUGACACUGACGCUCAUGCACGAAAGCGUGGGGAGCAAACAGG
RNAcentral lists this ribosomal RNA (254 nucleotides) under uncultured bacterium. Its description in RNAcentral is "partial 16S ribosomal RNA". It matches the Rfam family "Bacterial small subunit ribosomal RNA", at positions 524 to 776 of the family's 1533-position model. The record is from RNAcentral.